GUCGUCAUGGGCAAGUUGGACCAAAGGGUCUGUUUCUGUGCUGUACAUCUGUAUGACUCUUAUGACUCCAAUCCAGGUUGAUACUAGUGACAGGUGCAGUUCUGAUUGCUGCAGUCGAAGGCACUUCAAGUGUAUGGAUAUGUUUAAACCAACCAGAUAUGUCACGACACACCUCUAGCAAAGGUAGGAUUAUGAUCUCAGGCUUUCUGGUGUGGAGGAAGGGACACACCAUCUACAUGUACUACUACCGUUCCACAAGAAUCCUCCCAGCCAUUCUAUAAGAUUUUAAACUAAAGCACUGCCUGCCUGUCCAUUCGAUAGUUCUGCAUUCUGGCUGGAAUUAUUCCUGGAUCCUGGGUCUUAUGAUGUUUUAACCAUGUGGUGCAUGAUUGUGAUAUCUUGUCACACGAUUGACUUCUUCGGAUGUUAUUGUAUUUACCUUAAAGCAGUUAAGGUAAAAGCACCAUAAUCCUACUGGACCACAGGGCUGCUCCCUCACUGGAGAGAAGCAUUUAACAUGAGGAUCACCAUGCCUCAGAUGAGGGGAUAGGUUGAGAAGGAGGCAUGUGGCCGGUGUUGGUAUUCCUGUUGCUAUUUCAACCCCUCUCCCCCCACAGGCCUGGGAACAUCAGUUUUAACCUGGUGCAGAGUCUUUUCCCCAUCAGCAACUCCACUGGAGCUAUCCCGGUUGUUGUGUGCGAAAUGGUCCUAUAAUUAAACAGGAACCAGGACAAUUUGGUAUCAGGUGAUGCGGUAGGCUGCUUCUUUAACCCUACCUUCAAUAUUCGGACUGCUCUAUCCACUAGGCCAUGAGACGACAGAUGGUAUGGGAGCUGUCCUAAUGUGCCAAAUGCCAUUGGACCUGAGGAAAUAUUCGAAUUUCCUGCUGGUAAAUAACAUCCCAUUGUUCAUAACCCCUACUUCUGGGAGUCUGUGUAUCGCGAACGAUGCUCGCAGCUUCACAGUCAUCAACUUUUAGUUUGCUGAAUGAACUUUAUGCAUGUUCAACCACUUUGAAUGGCCUUCUACAAUGACCAGGAACAUUGAGCCCAUGAAAGGACCAGCAGUCGAUAUGCAGUCAAGUCCAGGGUUUACUCGUCCGAUCCCACAAUGUGGUGUCAGUUUCUGUGCGUGUUGGUACUCUAGGCCCUGCCCCACCAAUAUAGAUAUGUUGGCAUCCAACCCUGACAACCAGAAUUAGCUUCUUGCUAGCAUUUUCAUCUUGAAAACCCUUGGACGAUCCUAGUAGAAUUCAGCCAGUAUCUGGCGGUGACCUUUACACAGAACAAUCACCACAGUAAUAUUGCCAUCCUGUACGGUGAUCUAGUCUCGCUAGGUCCAGAAAGGUUUCAAACGUGGUUGCGAUAGCCCUUCUGUCUCCCCCAUCACCACCAGCUGCUCUUCUAACUUCAACCUGUAAGCAGCUGUUCCAUUUUUUUAAACUGU
Molecule: long non-coding RNA, 1446 nt
Organism: Chiloscyllium plagiosum (whitespotted bambooshark)
Lineage: Eukaryota; Metazoa; Chordata; Chondrichthyes; Orectolobiformes; Hemiscylliidae
Source: RefSeq, a predicted model, not a curated record